GCUCUAGUAGCUUAAUUUAAAGCAUUGGUCUUGUAAUCCAAAGAUUGGAGAUUAGAGUUCCCCCUAGCGC
RNAcentral lists this transfer RNA (70 nucleotides) under Prionobrama filigera (glass bloodfin tetra). Its description in RNAcentral is "tRNA-Thr". It matches the Rfam family "tRNA". From Rfam's summary of the family: Transfer RNA (tRNA) molecules are approximately 80 nucleotides in length. The record is from RNAcentral. Lineage: Eukaryota; Metazoa; Chordata; Actinopteri; Characiformes; Characidae.